RNAcentral lists this ribosomal RNA (250 nucleotides) under uncultured bacterium. RNAcentral's name for it is "partial 16S ribosomal RNA". It matches the Rfam family "Bacterial small subunit ribosomal RNA", at positions 524 to 774 of the family's 1533-position model. The record is from RNAcentral.
UACAUAGGGGGCAAGCGUUAUCCGGAAUUAUUGGGCGUAAAGGGUGCGUAGGCGGCCAUUUAAGUCUUUGGUAUAAGUGCAGUGCUUAACGCUGUGAUGCUAAGGAAACUGAAUGGCUUGAGUGAGAUAGAGGCAAGUGGAAUUCCAUGUGUAGCGGUAAAAUGCGUAAAUAUAUGGAGGAACACCAGUGGCGAAGGCGGCUUGCUGGGUCUACACUGACGCUGAGGCACGAAAGCGUGGGGAGCAAACA